Molecule: ribosomal RNA, 468 nt
Filed under: uncultured bacterium
Lineage: Bacteria
Description: partial 16S ribosomal RNA
Rfam family: Bacterial small subunit ribosomal RNA
Source: RNAcentral
GACGAACGCUGGCGGCGUGCUUAACACAUGCAAGUCGAACGGAAAGACCCUGCUUUUGUGGGGUGCUCGAGUGGCGAACGGGUGAGUAACACGUGAGUAGCCUGCCCUUGACUUUGGGAUAACUUCAGGAAACUGGGGCUAAUACCGGAUAGGAGCUCCUGCUGCAUGGUGGGGGUUGGAAAGUUUCGGCGGUUGGGGAUGGACUCGCGGCUUAUCAGCUUGUUGGUGGGGUAGUGGCUUACCAAGGCUUUGACGGGUAGCCGGCCUGAGAGGGUGACCGGCCACAUUGGGACUGAGGUACGGCCCAGACUCCUACGGGAGGCAGCAGUGGGGAAUAUUGCACAGUGGGCGGAAGCCUGAUGCGGCAACGCCGCGUGCGGGAUGACGGCCUUCGGGUUGUAAACCGCUUUCGCCUGUGACGAGGCGUGAGUGACGGUAAUGGGUAAAGAAGCACCGGCUAACUACGUG